UCAUCGGUGGCUCAGUGGUAGAAUGCUCGCCUGCCACGCGGGCGGCCCCGGGUUCGAUUCCCGGCCGAUGCA
RNAcentral lists this transfer RNA (72 nucleotides) under Cordylochernes scorpioides. Its description in RNAcentral is "tRNA-Gly". It matches the Rfam family "tRNA". Rfam says of the family: Transfer RNA (tRNA) molecules are approximately 80 nucleotides in length. The record is from RNAcentral. Lineage: Eukaryota; Metazoa; Arthropoda; Arachnida; Pseudoscorpiones; Chernetidae.